Oreochromis niloticus (Nile tilapia) is the source of this 1810-nucleotide RNA transcript. RefSeq lists it as uncharacterized. Lineage: Eukaryota; Metazoa; Chordata; Actinopteri; Cichliformes; Cichlidae. The record is from RefSeq and is a predicted model, not a curated record. The transcript has 3 exons.
UAAAAAGUCAGGAGAUAUAAAAACGGUGCAUAAAUUAUGGGGAUUACAGUUCAGUUCAUAUUUUAAAGCAAGUUAAAAAAGGGACACCCCAGUAAUAUUUUUUGUUCAGAUUCAGUUUUUAUCUAAUUACACUUGAAGUUUUAUCAAACUGGAUUCCCUAAAGAUGCCACAAUGCUCUCAGGAAGAAUGUAUACUGCCUUAUAGGGAAGCCUGCAGAAUAAAUCCUGUAGUUGAAGCUUUAAACAAAGUCGUGAUCUGUGCCUCUUUAUUUUAUUACCCAGGUGGAGUAAUUGUCCUCAAAAUGACUCCUAUGUAAAACAGUAAAAAUGAUAAGACUGUUGUAAACAUGUUAAAGUAAAGCAUAACUUUGGAAACUGUUUAAAAGUAAUCAAAGUUGGUAGCAGGUAAAGUGAGCUUCAAGUACAGUAGCUUUGCUAAUGAAGCACAAAUGGUAUUUGUGACAGUAAGGUUAAUCAGGCUCAUACAUCUUUUCAAUUUACAAUGUUUUUUAUGUGUGUUGUUGAGGUGAGAGGAGCUGCAAAUGCAAUUACCAAUGAACACAUUGUUUAAUAAUGGGCUUUAUAUAAACGGUUAUACACUAGCUGCUUGAUGAGUUCUAGUUUAUGAUAUUGUGUGUAUUGUGCGUAUGUCAGUGUGAGCAAAUGUUCAGAUUAGAGUGAUUACGCCCCUCCCUGAGCCUGGUUCUGCCGGAGGUUUCUUCCUGUUAAAAGGGAGUUUUUCCUUCCCACUGUCACCAAAGUGCUUUAUACGGGGUCAUAUGGUUAUUUGGUUUUUUGCUGCAUGUAUUACUAUAAGGUCUAUGUUAAUGUUGUGGUGAUUUGGCACUAUAUAAAGAAAAUUGAAUUCAAACCAGUGCGGCCGUUUAAUUUUAAAAAGCUGGUUUUGGGCUUGAAAUCCUAUAUUGUAGAUUUGGCCUGUGAGGUCAUAUAGAUUCAUGUGAGCAUGAGUGGAGUGUGUCACUGUCACAGGGUGGUGAUGUGUGUAGGUGUACCUCUGCUGUCAUAGCCCUACCCUGCACCCCCCACAUCAAGAAAAUGUUAAACAAACAAGGAAGUCAUUUUUAGAAAUUAGAAUAAAACUUCCUGUUUCUGCUUGCUGGAUAGUCCACAGUGAGGUGCUUUGUGUCCUUUUUCCAUAGCUUAAUGUAAACAAGUCCAUUCAUAAGCCAUAUCUACACUGUGUCUUUGUGUCAGGGGGGAAAUUUGUAUCUUAAUAUUGAAAUACUGAGUACAGAGUGUGUGUUAGUACAGAUGGUUAUUCACUGCAGAGCUGUCUGCAUGAACACCAGAGAAGAACCAGAUUGCUGUGUGUCCAUCAAACAGUGAAGAGCUGCUGGAUUCAUUGUUUCCUCCAAAUGAAAGAAAAGUCAUUUUCAUGUGACAGAGCGACGAUGCAGUGGAGUCUGUUUCUGCUUCUUCUGAUGGGUCAGUGUGUCUUCAUCACAUGUCACCUGUAUGAGUACCACUUUAUUAAAGAACAGAUGAGCUGGGAUGAAGCACGGGCAUACUGCAGAGAGAACUACACAGACCUGGCCAAAGUGUUUGACCUGACAGACAUGAGAAGACUUCAAGACUCUGCACAGAAUCAAACAGAAGCCUGGAUUGGACUGUACAACAUCACAGGAGGAGACAACAGGACGUGGCACUGGUCUCUGCCGGGGGAGGAAUACACUGAAAAUAAUACCUGUUGGGGAAAUACAGAGCCAAAUGAUGGAGCAUAUCCUGAGAACUGUGUGAUGACAGGAGACAAGUGGGCAGAUUAUCCAUGUACCCACACAUUUCAGUUCAUC